CGUCGCCGCGGGAAUACGUAGGUGGCAAGCGUUGUCCAGAAUUAUUGGGCGUAAAGGGCUCGCAGGCGGUUUCUUAAGUCUGAUGUGAAAGCCCCCGGCUCAACCGGGGAGGGUCAUUGGAAACUGGGAAACUUGAGUGCAGAAGAGGAGAGUGGAAUUCCACGUGUAGCGGUGAAAUGCGUAGAGAUGUGGAGGAACACCAGUGGCGAAGGCGGCUCUCUGGUCUGUAACUGACGCUGAGGAGCGAAAGCGUGGGGAGCGAACAGGAUUAGAUACCCCCGUAGUCCCUGUCUCUUAUACA
RNAcentral lists this ribosomal RNA (301 nucleotides) under uncultured bacterium. RNAcentral's name for it is "partial 16S ribosomal RNA". It matches the Rfam family "Bacterial small subunit ribosomal RNA", at positions 510 to 808 of the family's 1533-position model. The record is from RNAcentral.